Molecule: long non-coding RNA, 350 nt
Filed under: Dasypus novemcinctus (nine-banded armadillo)
Lineage: Eukaryota; Metazoa; Chordata; Mammalia; Cingulata; Dasypodidae
Description: lncRNA (ENSDNOG00000050135.1)
Source: RNAcentral
CUCUUGUGAAAGGACAAUAGCAAAGUAUAAAUGUCUGUUUCCCCUUUAGGACCAUGAACUCCUUGAGGCUUUUGAACUCCUUGUUAUCUCUGUAUCCUCUACUCCUGAUACACAGCAGGAAUUCAGUCCACACCUGUGGAAUGACCAAAUGAAAUGGCAGGCUUCCGGGGCGGACAUCAGUGCCUCUCCAGAGCGUCGCUAUUCACCCCUGCCUUCUGCUUCCAGGGAGCUCACCAGCCACCGAGGUAGGAACUCAUUUUUUUAUUGCUCUCAGUGGCUUCAAGGAGGGCCACUUGGCUGUGCAGUGCUCUGAAGCUCAUUGCUGCUGCUUUGACACUUCAGAAGGAACA